This 1089-nucleotide long non-coding RNA is filed under the name Cyanistes caeruleus (blue tit). Its description in RNAcentral is "lncRNA (ENSCCEG00000006396.1)". Lineage: Eukaryota; Metazoa; Chordata; Aves; Passeriformes; Paridae. The record is from RNAcentral.
AUGAAUAGCAACAUUGGGAAUAACACCAGGAAUUCCAGGGAUUACUCAGGGAAUUAUCCUGGGUCAGUGUGGCUGAGAGAGCGCGGGGACAGGUUCAGGAAUGCUGGUUCAGGAAUGCUGGGAAUUCCAGCUGGGAUCGGGAAUUCCAGGUGGGAUUGGGGAGUUCCAAACGGGAAUUCCGCUGGGAUCGGGAAUUUUUCCCGGGAAUUCCAGCUGGGAUCAGGAAUUUUUCCUGGGAAUUCCGCUGGGAUCGGGAAUUUUUCCUGGGAAUUCCGCUGGGAUCGGGAAUUUUUCCCGGGAAUUCCGCUGGGAUCGGGAAUUCCAGGUGGGAUUGGGGAGUUCCAAAGAGGAAUUCCAGCUGGGAUCGGGAAUUCGGGCCAGGAAUUCCGCUGGGAUCAGGAAUUUUUUCCAGGAAUUCCGGUGGGAUCGGGAAUUUUUGCCGGGAAUUCCACUGGGAUCAGGAAUUUUUCCCGGGAAUUCCAGGUGGGAUUGGGAGUUCCAAACAGGAAUUCCAGCUGGGAUCGGGAAUUUUUGCCGGAAUUCCGGUGGGAUCGGGAAUUUUUUCCGGGAAUUCCACUGGGAUCGGGAAUUUUUGCCAGGAAUUCCGCUGGGAUCAGGAAUUUUUCCCGGGAAUUCCGCUGGGAUCAGGAAUUUUGGCGGGAAUUCCACUGGGAUCAGGAAUUUUUCCCGGGAAUUCCGCUGGGAUCGGGAAUUUUUCCCGGGAAUUCCAGCUGGGAUCGGGAAUUUUCCCCGGGAAUUCCAGCUGGGAUCGGGAAUUUUGGCGGGAAUUCCGGUGGGAGCAGGAAUUUUUCCCGGGAAUUCCGCUGGGAUCAGGAAUUUUUCCCAGGAAUUCCACUGGGAUCGGGAAUUUUGGCGGGAAUUCCGCUGGGAUCAGGAAUUUUUGCCGGGAAUUCCGCUGGGAUCGGGAAUUCCAGGUGGGAUUGGGAAUUUUUCCCGGGAAUUCCAGCUGGGAUCAGGAAUUUUUCCCGGGAAUUCCGCUGGGAUCGGGAAUUUUCCCGGGAAUUCCGCUGGGAUCGGGAAGUUUUCCCGGAAUCCCGCUGGAUUUUCCCCUUUCCCCGUUGCAGGUGA